Gallus gallus (chicken) is the source of this 575-nucleotide long non-coding RNA. The record is from Ensembl. Lineage: Eukaryota; Metazoa; Chordata; Aves; Galliformes; Phasianidae.
GCAGGUUUGGUGUGUGCAGGUUUUCUGAUGAUGUAUCCAGUCAUUGAGAAAGCCAUCAAACACACUUUGUGUUGCUCUGUAGAGUGCUGGGAGCAGUUCCGAGCACAGCAGGAAAAUAAUGAAGACCUGUCAGAAAGCUGCAUUCUUGGGCAGUGUUUCCAGUGGGCAGCGUCACCUGACUGGGAGCUGUGACGUGCGUGGUCCAGAGGUGACGCAGAAUGUGUUUGCUGGGACAGGAGCCUUCAGGGUAGUCUGCUCAGGGCUCAGUGCUGAUGUCACCACUGGGGAGAGAAUGGGGCAAGGACAAGUUCAGCAGUCACCAGAUAAGGAAGACCACUCUUUUUCCAUCAGUUUGAAGAGAUUUGGCAGAGUUUUAAGUAACACCAUAAUUUUCCUGAAGAUGGAUUUGCUUGUACAACUUGCCAGCUAGAGCUUGUGCUGUCCACAAAAGUUCCUCCCUUUUAGACACAUUUGCAACACUUCCCAGACCAGUUUGUUCAUUCACCUUACAGCUUGAAACCCUUGUUUCAGGGCAGGCUUGUUUCUUCUACUGUAUUUUUACUGCCCCUUGAGUG